RNAcentral lists this long non-coding RNA (1635 nucleotides) under Trifolium pratense (red clover). RNAcentral describes it as "long non-coding RNA (TPRA_LNC001088)". Lineage: Eukaryota; Viridiplantae; Streptophyta; Magnoliopsida; Fabales; Fabaceae. The record is from RNAcentral.
UACAUACGAUAAGAGAGAAUAUGGCUAAAUAUCUCAAGUUAAUUCCUAUUAUAAUUUUAUUUCUUUUCCUAUUCCUUAUUACGAAGGAGGAUGCCAAUUAUCCAAAAAUCAUUUCAACAUCUAAAACAUGUGCAUCUACUGAAGAUUGUCCUAAAAUUUCUGCAGGUAGCAAAUAUGUCGCUUUUUUUAUCGUUAAUGUAUGCAUGAAUGGCUUUUGUCAUAAGAUUAUUUCCAAGCCAUAGAAAGUAAACGAACGCCAUAGGAAGAAUAAGUUCUAGUAGCAAUCUAUAAUUAUAUUUUUAAUUUUUUGUUUUUUAAUUUCAUGCACCUUGCAACUUUGCCUUUGUACUCUAAAAUAUUAGUAAUGAAAUUAAAUGAAAUGAAAUUGUCUGCUUAUCUCUUGUUUUGGAUGUCUCGCAAAUAUUUCACCCACCUUGCAACUUUGACUUUGUACUCUCAAAUUUUUUGAAUUCAAAGGCGAGCAGAUAUGUUUUUUUGGCCUCUUACUUUUUCUAAACUUUUCUAAAUUAUUACAAUUUCCUAAAAUAUAACGGUGUUUGUCCAUCUUGCUGUCUUGAUCCAACGAACUCAUUUGAAAGAGUUGCUGGUGAUAAACUUGCUUUUUGCAGGUCUCUUAUGAACCUGUCCAUUACAUGGUGGUACAUUUUAGAACACUGCUAAUGUGAUGGAGAGUCCUUUCCAAUUUAUUGAAUGGGAGAAUCAUGGUGUGUUGUUAAAGUAAUGUUUAUAGAAUUACUUUUGCCACUCUACCGGUUUUUCAAUUUUAUCCUUCCGUUACUUAAGUAGCAGACGUUAUAAAAAUUAGAAAUUUUGGAAAAUAACGUCCACUACUUAAGUAGCGGAAAGUUAUAAAGGUAGGGUGUUUUGAGGGGUGUCCACUACCUAAAUAGCGGACAAAUAUAUUUUGAUAAUUUCGUAGAGUGCGCCCCAAAAUUAGUAGGGUGGCAAAAAGAGAUCUCUAAUGUUUACGAGAACAAAAAAUAUUUAUAGGAACAAAAAAUAAUGAAUUUUAAUGAUUAUAUAUUUUUUAUGUUACCCAUUCACUAAGUGUGUUUAAGAGGCAAACUUAAAACAUUUGAUCUACCGAAGAAAUAUUUAUUAAUUAAGCGUUCUAAAUGGUCAAAUCAAAUGCAACCCAUUGAUCACCUUGAAUGCUAAAAAUAAAAAUAUUAAUUUUUUAUUUUUAAAUUGCAUAACCUUCAUACACUAUAAAUUGAUCAAACCAUAUUCUAUUUGUUACAUACGAAGAGAGAGAGAACAUGGCUAAAAAUCUCAAGUUAGUUCCUGCUAUAAUUUUAUUUCUUUUCCUAUUUCGUAUUACGAAGGAGGAUGUCAGUGGUCCAAAAAUCAUCGUACCAUCUAUCACAUGUACAUCUACUAAAGAUUGUCCUAAAGUAUCCGCACGUAGCAAAUAUGUCGUUAAUGUAUGCAUGGAUGGCUAUUGUCAUAGAAUGAUUUUCAAGCCAAAACGCCACAUGUAGGGAUGCAUUAGUUCUUCCGGUAGCAACCAAUAAUUAUAUUUUUUAUUUUUUAAUUUCACGCACCUUGCAACUUUAGUACUUUACCUUUGCACUUGUACCAAAAAAAAACUUUACCUUUGCACUCUAAAAUAGU